Molecule: unclassified non-coding RNA, 301 nt
Filed under: Hevea brasiliensis (rubber tree)
Lineage: Eukaryota; Viridiplantae; Streptophyta; Magnoliopsida; Malpighiales; Euphorbiaceae
Source: RNAcentral
CUCGAAUAUGAAGUAGUACCUUCAAAACUAACCAGAAAUAUUGAAAAUUCAUCUAUGAAGGGAUAAUUAACAUGUACUUUCCUCUGUAGAGAAACCAUUCUCCAUGAUCCUCAUCAUCUUCAUAACCACCUGAGAGCACCCUAGAUCGCUUGUCCUGCAACUCAAGCAACAUGGGUCCAAUGCACACCCCAUUGCCUGUCCACAAUUCUACAACAAAAACACCUUGAUUUCUCUCCAGAUCAUUCUUCGCCAAUAUUGACCUGAGGACAUGCUACUUGAGCCAGGCCUUGUAGGAGCAUCA